AUUGAACGCUGGCGGCAGGCCUAACACAUGCAAGUCGGACGGUAGCACAGAGGAGCUUGCUCCUCGGGUGACGAGUGGCGGACGGGUGAGUAAUGUCUGGGGAUCUGCCCGAUAGAGGGGGAUAACCACUGGAAACGGUGGCUAAUACCGCAUAACGUCGCAAGACCAAAGAGGGGGACCUUCGGGCCUCUCACUAUCGGAUGAACCCAGAUGGGAUUAGCUAGUAGGCGGGGUAACGCCCCACCUAGGCGACGAUCCCUAGCUGGUCUGGGAGGAUGGCCAGCCACACUGGAACUGAGACACGGUCCAGACUCCUACGGGAGGCAGCAGUGGGGAAUAUUGCACAAUGGGCGCAAGCCUGAUGCAGCCAUGCCGCGUGUAUGAAGAAGGCCUUCGGGUUGUAAAGUACUUUCAGCGGGGAGGAAGGCGAUGUGGUUAAUAACCGCAUUGAUUGACGUUACCCGCAGAAGAAGCACCGGCUAACUCCGUGCCAGCCGCCGCUGUAA
Molecule: ribosomal RNA, 506 nt
Filed under: uncultured bacterium
Lineage: Bacteria
Description: partial 16S ribosomal RNA
Rfam family: Bacterial small subunit ribosomal RNA
Source: RNAcentral